UCUACAUCUGACCUCAUUUUGAUGAUGUCUCUCUCCUAUAUAUACACAUCCUUAGAAUAGCCCAAAAAACCAGUUUUUUAAUAUACAUAGCUUGACAGGCACAUCUGAUUUGGCUCUCCUUUCAUUGUUUCUCUCCCUUGAAGAGGCCCUUACUUCCCCCAAAAGGUUCAUAUCUGGUAUUUGCUUGGCUGCUUGGUGUUUCAUCUUCCAUUGGAAGGAAAACACUAGGGAAUGCUGAAAAAUGUGCUUG
RNAcentral lists this unclassified non-coding RNA (250 nucleotides) under Hevea brasiliensis (rubber tree). Lineage: Eukaryota; Viridiplantae; Streptophyta; Magnoliopsida; Malpighiales; Euphorbiaceae. The record is from RNAcentral.